This 875-nucleotide long non-coding RNA is filed under the name Strongylocentrotus purpuratus (purple sea urchin). Its description in RNAcentral is "uncharacterized LOC115924436". Lineage: Eukaryota; Metazoa; Echinodermata; Echinoidea; Camarodonta; Strongylocentrotidae. The record is from RNAcentral.
GUAACGCCUAUUUAUGCAAAACAUAAUAUCUGGGUAACACGGCUCUUGGUAUUACAAUGAGCUUUAUUGCAAGGUACUUUCCAUAAACUCUUUUGAACGUCCGCUUUCUUUCACGAUGUAUAUUCCAACGCCUUUAUACAAUGCCAUAGUAUCUGGGUAACGACGGCUUUUUUUAAAUAUUACAAUGAGCUUUAUUUCGAUAACGCAUUCUAUGUAAAUUCACAUAUCUUAGUAAAUGACUGAUACAUAUUUAAAACUUUUUCUGUAAAGUGAAAACAAUUCGAGUAUCUGGAUAAUGGUCCGAUCUGUUCACCCAGCCAAAACUAUUUUGUUUUAAAGCCAGGUGGUGGUGUGAUGUUUUGAGAGGGAGGAACGUGUUGGGAUCCGGUAUGCAUGCUUGCCUAUCAUUAUGUCGGGCUGACGUUUGGUGUUCUUUCGAGUUGUCGGGAACGCCCUUUAGGAGUUUUUUUUUACGGAGUGCAUACAAAACGAUCAGAUGUGUGAGCCUAUUCAUUCAUGGGUGAGGCUUAUUAUGCAAAUUAUAGAACUUGGUAAAUGAUAGCAUGAUGGGUUCGGUUUGCACGAACAGUUUAUUAGGUUGCCGAACUGGUGUCGUUUGGGGGAAUUUGGUUUAUUGGGAUCGUGUUUUUAUUUUUAAUUAGAAGGUGCGUAUUGUAAUUAGGUACGCGGGCCGGUCAAUUCACUGUAAUGCAUUUUAGGAAAAUCAUUUAACUUAGUUAUGACGAGCGGGUUCCGUAAUACAAUUCAAGGCAUUUGUUAAGGGAUAAAAGCUCUUUGUAUUUUGUUUUUGUUUUGUUUAAUUAGAUUACGGUUAUAUAACAAUACAACGUAUUUCUCAUCGACUUGUGCAAGAA